CAGUAGCCGCGGUAAUACGAAGGGGGCUAGCGUUGUUCGGAAUUACUGGGCGUAAAGCGCACGUAGGCGGACAUUUAAGUCAGGGGUGAAAUCCCGGGGCUCAACCCCGGAACUGCCUUUGAUACUGGGUGUCUAGAGUAUGGAAGAGGUGAGUGGAAUUCCGAGUGUAGAGGUGAAAUUCGUAGAUAUUCGGAGGAACACCAGUGGCGAAGGCGGCUCACUGGUCCAUUACUGACGCUGAGGUGCGAAAGCGUGGGGAGCAAACAGGAUUAGAUACCCCAGUAGUCCUGUCUCUUAUACA
This 301-nucleotide ribosomal RNA is filed under the name uncultured bacterium. RNAcentral describes it as "partial 16S ribosomal RNA". It matches the Rfam family "Bacterial small subunit ribosomal RNA", at positions 509 to 809 of the family's 1533-position model. The record is from RNAcentral.